This 496-nucleotide ribosomal RNA is filed under the name uncultured bacterium. Its description in RNAcentral is "partial 16S ribosomal RNA". It matches the Rfam family "Bacterial small subunit ribosomal RNA", at positions 30 to 523 of the family's 1533-position model. The record is from RNAcentral.
AUUGAACGCUGGCGGAAUGCUUUACACAUGCAAGUCGAACGGUAGAGGGGGCAACCCCUUGAGAGUGGCGAACGGGUGAGUAAUAUAUCGGAACGUGCCCAGUCGUGGGGGAUAACGUAGUGAAAAUUACGCUAAUACCGCAUACGAUCUAAGGAUGAAAGCGGGGGAUCGCAAGACCUCGCGCGAUUGGAGCGGCCGAUAUCAGAUUAGGUAGUUGGUAGGGUAAAGGCCUACCAAGCCAACGAUCUGUAGCUGGUCUGAGAGGACGACCAGCCACACUGGAACUGAGACACGGUCCAGACUCCUACGGGAGGCAGCAGUGGGGAAUUUUGGACAAUGGGCGAAAGCCUGAUCCAGCCAUUCCGCGUGCAGGAUGAAGGCCCUCGGGUUGUAAACUGCUUUUGUACAGAACGAAAAGGUCUCUAUUAAUACUAGGGGCUCACGACGGUACUGUAAGAAUAAGCACCGGCUAACUACGUGCCAGCAGCCGCAGUAA